Molecule: ribosomal RNA, 459 nt
Filed under: uncultured bacterium
Lineage: Bacteria
Description: partial 16S ribosomal RNA
Rfam family: Bacterial small subunit ribosomal RNA
Source: RNAcentral
CCUACGGGAGACAGCAGUGAGGAAUAUUGGUCAAUGGCCGAGAGGCUGAACCAGCCAAGUCGCGUGAGGGAAGACGGCCCUACGGGUUGUAAACCUCUUUUGUCGGGGAGCAAAGCGAACCACGUGUGGUUCAUUGAGAGUACCCGAAGAAAAAGCAUCGGCUAACUCCGUGCCAGCAGCCGCGGUAAAACGGAGGAUGCAAGCGUUAUCCGGAUUUAUUGGGUUUAAAGGGUGCGAAGGCGGAGGUGCAAGUCAGCGGUCAAAUUGCGGGGCUCAACCCCGUACUGCCGUUGAAACUGCAGCCCUUGAGUGCGCGAGAAGUAGGCGGAAUGGGUGGUGUAGCGGUGAAAUGCAUAGAUAUCACGCAGAACACCGAUUGCGAAGGCAGCAUACCGGCGCGCAACUGACGCUCAUGCACGAAAGCGUGGGUAUCGAACAGGAUUAGAUACCCCAGUAGUC